GCCACCGUAGUUCAAGGGAUAGAAUAGGCGUUUCCUAAACGCUUGAUCCAGGUUCGAGUCCUGGCGGUGGCACCC
RNAcentral lists this transfer RNA (75 nucleotides) under Bacteroidota bacterium. Its description in RNAcentral is "Bacteroidetes bacterium tRNA-Arg". It matches the Rfam family "tRNA". Rfam says of the family: Transfer RNA (tRNA) molecules are approximately 80 nucleotides in length. Lineage: Bacteria; Pseudomonadati; Bacteroidota. The record is from RNAcentral.